GAGAUCUUUUAGCCAUUGUAACUCGAAAUGUGUGAAGAAUCCCAACUUUCGAAACGCCAUUGGAAAAGUUGUGUCUGAAACUGUACCAGACUUUUCUGGCGUCCGGCUAACGUUAGCUUCAGAGUUGCUACCAUCUUUACGAAACUUGACCCCAUCGAUGCUACGGAUACGAGGAUGUAAUUAUGGACACUAAUUUUAACAUAACAGGAUCGCUGAUAGACGUAGAUCUUUAUGACGACCUUUAUUACUCGUGCCAUACUCUGAAGAAUACGGAUACCCGAGUCAUUCAAAUAGAACACCUUGAUUCUUGCGUUGUCUAUUUUCCUAAUAAAUUCUGCAAUUAUCACACCACUGUGCAUCGACCGACAAUCCUGGACAAUGUGACAAUUGAUUUCAGCAAUGGUGACGACAAUGGUGGAAGUUAUUUCCAAGUGAAGUCAUUAAUGUUGUGCGUCAGCGUUUUAAAAUCUGAAUCUUACCGCGCGACUUUGCAAGGAUUGUAUGGCGACACAUUGGAAAUAUUGGAACUUGUUUUAUAUUCGAGUGAAGUCUUUAGAGGAAAAAAUGUUACCUUUCGAAUAUCAGGCUGUCAACAAUUAAAUAAUACGCUUAUAAAAUAUAGUUCAAUGGAUACCGGAGGCCACUGCAUUGCCAUGUUUACCGAUUUUAAUUGUGUUACUGGACAUGGGGACAUUUUAUACUCAGGGUCACCGGUCCUAAGAAAUUUAAAACUUUUAAAUCCGCGCGGAGAGAUUCAUAGUGUUAGAAAGUGUGUGGACCCUGACCAUAUAAAUGACACCAGGGCAGAAUUUAGCUUCACAAUGCAUAAUUCUCAAUUCGGUUCGAAUUGGACAAUUGAUCACAGGACAAAUCCAGAUAUUUCAACUUGCUGGGAAAUCCCGUACUAUUUUCGGGCAGGGGAAAUAACCUCGAUAAUCGUGCACCAAGGGUGUGUCCAACUUUACCUUGAUAUUAAUUGUUCCCCUUACGCGCAAACGGUCCGCAUACGGCCAUCCUUUGACGCAAGUAAUUUGACGAAAUGGUGGAAUUUCGCCGAUACUUAUAGAAAAAUUCCGCGAGUCGGAUCGUUUAGCGGGUGCAAUUCAUCUUUAAGUAAGAAAUCAGUUUGGAAAGAGGAAAACGAUGAUGUGCAGCAUCAUCCUGAUAGGGGGAUCGUGAUACUUCUUAGUUCAGAAAUUUCUCAAGCAUACACAGAAAUAAAAUCGUGCGAAUCCUUUGGACGCCGUCUGGACUACGAAGAUGAUCCCAUCCAACUCAUUUCGGCCAAAAAUGUCUGUGUUGUGUUCUUUAACGAAGAGCGCUGCGACAUGAAGCCAACAAACGUUAGGCCGUCGUUUCUCAACGUUUCGCAAAUUGAGGGAGUAGUAAAUAUAAAAUUAAGUGAAAACCCGUUCUGGCUAAAUCCUGAAUAUCUACCGAGAUCCGUGAUAAGUUGCGAAGACUACCCCUGGUCACCGAGUGAAGAUCUUCGAAGCCUAAACUAUAAUUCUAGGAAAAGUUUGGACACCAAAACUGUUCUCCUUUACAUCGGAUUGGGCGUAAUUGUCACAAUAGUGAUUGGAACCUUGGUCUUAUUCUUGCUUUUAAAAUACUUUCCGAAAAGAUCGUAGUUUCCGCAAGCAGAAAUCGAGUCCUUUUACAACGGCAGUAAUUCCAUUUGUGCCAAUGAUGACGAUAAAAUUCAAGGUUUGGCGGUCGACCGAAAGUAUGAAAUACUGCCGAAAGAUUUUAUUUAUGCAAACUCGGAAGAUAAGGCCGUCAUUAUUUUGGGGAGCGGGGCAUUCGGCGUUGUCGCGCAAGGAGUGUUAAAUCUAGGCUUCGACGAAUUAACUGGUGUCCCUGUGAUGAAAACCGUGGCCAUUAAGACGCCACGAAUUGGCAUUACGAUUGAACAGAUUCGAUCAGUUUUAGCAGAAAUUAAGAUCAACUUAUUCGUUGGACGACAUAAGCAUAUCGUCGAAUUUUUGGGAUUCUGCAUUACAGAGAUACGAAGGGGGAAAGUAAGCAUAAUCUUGGAAUUAUGUGAGAACGGAAGUCUUCUUAAAUAUCUUCGUGAUCAUGCGACACAAUUCGAAGGGCGAGAUGCUAUUUCAAGCAGCGGAAACUAUGAAAAUACGACUCUCUUCGGUAAUAUUACACUUGUCCGAUGGUGUAAAGAGAUCGCGGAAGGAAUGGAGUUCCUAGCAGGAAAUAAUGUACUACAUGGCGAUUUGGCGGCCAGGAAUUGUCUAUUGGAUUCACAGUUGUCGAUUAAAAUAAGUGAUUUCGGAUUAUCCCGGAAAUUAUAUGAUUAUCGAAAUUACGUCAAAAGGAGCAAGGCACCCCUCCCGUGGCGCUGGAUGGCCCUCGAAUCUCUGAAAGCGUUCGAAUUCUCGGUCAAGUCUGACGUGUGGUCGUACGGGGUGACAAUCUGGGAGAUUUUCAGUCUUGGUGACCAACCAUAUCCGACUUUGACUUGGAACGAGGCAUUCAUCCAAGCACUGUCUUCCGGGUUGCGACCCCCACGGCCAAACGGAUGUCCGGAUGUGUGUUACGCUUUGACGAAUUCCUGCUGGGAGAACGAUCCUGCAAGUAGGCCAGAAUUUUCCGAAAUUAUUCACCUGAUUGGACAAGAACUCGAGAAAAUGGUGCCGGAUGGACAGAUUGGAGUGGAAUGCGAAUAUGAGGAAGUGCGUUGAAUUUAAACUUUCUUAUAAAUUUGACGAAUUUGUCAGUGGUGUAACACCACUUGUGUUAAUAAAGAAUGAUAAUAAUUACUUGUAUUGUUCCAAGCAGUUUGUGAUAUCUAUGAUAUCUUUGCUAGUUGUUAAGGUACCGGAUUGGUUUAAUAAAUUGAUGUAAAACAGCGCACAACAA
Folsomia candida is the source of this 2877-nucleotide RNA transcript. RefSeq lists it as uncharacterized. NCBI's taxonomy places the organism in Eukaryota, Metazoa, Arthropoda, Collembola, Entomobryomorpha, Isotomidae. The transcript has 11 exons. The record is from RefSeq and is a predicted model, not a curated record.